RNAcentral lists this ribosomal RNA (219 nucleotides) under uncultured bacterium. RNAcentral describes it as "partial 16S ribosomal RNA". It matches the Rfam family "Bacterial small subunit ribosomal RNA", at positions 1281 to 1500 of the family's 1533-position model. The record is from RNAcentral.
CUAGGUCCCAGUUCAGAUUGCAGGCUGCAACCCGCCUGCAUGAAGUCGGAAUUGCUAGUAAUCGCGGAUCAGCAUGCCGCGGUGAAUACGUUCCCGGGCCUUGUACACACCGCCCGUCACACCAUGGGAGCCGGUAAUACCCGAAGUCAGUAGUCCAACCACGUGAGGACGCUGCCGAAGGUAGGAUUGGCGACUGGGGUGAAGUCGUAACAAGGUACC